Long non-coding RNA from Aedes aegypti (yellow fever mosquito), 1995 nucleotides. RefSeq lists it as uncharacterized. NCBI's taxonomy places the organism in Eukaryota, Metazoa, Arthropoda, Insecta, Diptera, Culicidae. The record is from RefSeq and is a predicted model, not a curated record. The transcript has 3 exons.
CGCAAAGCUACGUCCAGAAUGCAAAGAAGAGAGCUGGACUACAUACAUACAAGGUACAUGUGGUGUCUGCCCUAUUACUUUAUAAUUAAGCGUUAGCAUGUAACGCUUCAGAAAAGAGACUGAGAGCUGAAUAAUAAAGAGCUAGCUAAGUCUAGCUUGAGCCGUGGCAUGUGACGGAGUCUAAACGUAUCGGUUGUUGUUUCAUUCAAGUUACAUAAGAAGAAGUCUUAUUACUAUUUUAGUUGUUUAAGUUAUAAAACAGUUUAAUUAUUAUUUUCAUGUCAAUUACCAUUUAUAACAGUGGCGACGACGGAUAAAUAAGUGAUUGUGAUAAGUGCAGAUAACUCAAACGGAAGGCACUUCCAGAGUGAGUCAGCCUUGUGUUCAGAACAAAGAAUUUCGUUCUCCAAUAAGCAAUACAGCAUAUCGGAGAUUCCGUGCGAGAGGCGAGAUCUGCUCGAAAAUCGACUCAGAAGGUUUGAGUUACUACUGCUGUGCUGUUGCUGUUGAGUUGUUGGUUGCUGGGUUCGUGGAUAGAUUGCUGCUGUUGCGAGAUUUAUUACUCGGGAGAAAAUUAGAGUACCAGGCAUUUGAGAGUACCAAUGCUGGAGGUCUCGCAAAGUGAGAACUGAUAUAGUGAACACCUUACUCACUACUCACAGUUCAACCCAUACGUUGUGAGAAGCACAUCGCGCCCAUUGCGCCGAGUGGAUCUACAGCAAGUUGAUUUCGAGCCGAAGUAGGAGGUAGACGAUCCCGUUGUCGUUGAAACUUCAGAGACACGUUUCGAAGGUUUCACUGUACAGAGGUGCAUGCUGUAAACGUCUAUAGUAUAGGGGACGAGUUACAAGUGUCAGCCAAGUACACGGUGAGACUGAUCUGCUGCAAUCAUUCUGGUCGGUAAGCACAAGACGAAUGCGCACAGGCGACAGUUGAAGGCUGCUUACGAACCCAAACGAAGUCGGACAGUGGUACAACUGCCAACCACCACAAUGAACAAACGUAAGAGGGAGUCAAUCGAUGAGGAUGAAGAUUUCUACGGAUUCUCAGAUGUCCCGAGACCAGAAGAUGUUUCCCAACGAAAGAAAGCCAAACAUGCUAGAAGUCCCAUUAACACUCGCUCGAGAACUACAUAAAUCAGCUAGGCGCAACCAAGCUAUAGCUGCUUCACUACCAUCAACGAGUUUGAGUUCGAAUUAUUGAAAUAAUCUUAUUCAUAUCCAUGUUCUGAAAUUAAGUUGAUUGACUUUUCUUAAGAAGGGAGAACUGUGGUGUCUGCCCUAUUACUUUAUAAUUAAGCGUUAGCAUGUAACGCUUCAGAAAAGAGACUGUGAGAGCUGAAUAAUGAAGAGCUAGCUCAGUCUAGCUUGAGCCGUGGCAUGUGACGGAGUCUAAACGUAUCGGUUGUUGUUUCAUUCAAGUUACAUAAGAAGAAGUCUUAUUACUAUUUUAGUUGUUUAAGUUAUAAAACAGUUUAAUUAUUAUUGUCAUGUCAAUUACCAUUUAUAACAGUACAGAACUUCCUAAACCGCGAUGAGCGGCUACAAUCGACGGCUAAAACUCGGGCAUGGAAACUCUACGAGAAGAUGCUGACAAAAUAUGGCUGCUGUGUGAUGGACGACGAAACGUAUAUAAAAGCCGAUUUUAAUCAAAUUCCGGGGUUGGAGUUUUUCACCGGCAAGAGCAAGUUCGAUGUGGACGACAAAUUUAAGAAGAAGAAAAUGUCGAAGUUCGCCUCCAAAUAUGUAUCUCAUUUGGCAGGUCAUAAAUUUGAGAAAACCGAAAGGACCACCCUUAAUUUUUAGCAUAUACUAGCUAUCAGUGACAUAACAUUGGAACGCUAACGAUGAGUGCCGAUGGCGGCCUGUUUUCAGCGAGAAUUGAUCAUUGUGAAAUUGAAUUGAUUCAAAUUAAAAUUCUAAGUUCUGAUGUUUAGUCUAAGUUUUGAUGUUUAGUGAACAUGGCUUGAAAAGGUGUGAUAAAGUGUCUAGCUAA